GACGAACGCUGGCGGCGUGCCUAAUACAUGCAAGUAGAACGCUGAAGGAGGAGCUUGCUUCUCUGGAUGAGUUGCGAACGGGUGAGUAACGCGUAGGUAACCUGCCUGGUAGCGGGGGAUAACUAUUGGAAACGAUAGCUAAUACCGCAUAAGAGUAGAUGUUGCAUGACAUUUGCUUAAAAGGUGCAAUUGCAUCACUACCAGAUGGACCUGCGUUGUAUUAGCUAGUUGGUGGGGUAACGGCUCACCAAGGCGACGAUACAUAGCCGACCUGAGAGGGUGAUCGGCCACACUGGGACUGAGACACGGCCCAGACUCCUACGGGAGGCAGCAGUAGGGAAUCUUCGGCAAUGGACGGAAGUCUGACCGAGCAACGCCGUGUGAGUGAAGAAGGUUUUCGGAUCGUAAAGCUCUGUUGUAAGAGAAGAACGAGUGUGAGAGUGGAAAGUUCACACUGUGACG
This 462-nucleotide ribosomal RNA is filed under the name Streptococcus mitis. RNAcentral describes it as "bacterial SSU rRNA". It matches the Rfam family "Bacterial small subunit ribosomal RNA", at positions 28 to 474 of the family's 1533-position model. The record is from RNAcentral. Lineage: Bacteria; Bacillati; Bacillota; Bacilli; Lactobacillales; Streptococcaceae.